Molecule: long non-coding RNA, 800 nt
Filed under: Helianthus annuus (common sunflower)
Lineage: Eukaryota; Viridiplantae; Streptophyta; Magnoliopsida; Asterales; Asteraceae
Description: hypothetical non coding rna
Source: RNAcentral
CUCAGCUUGGAUAUGUCCUCGGGUAAAUCCUCUCAAACCCUGGUUAUCAAGACCUUUUGUAUAGAAAGAAUUUUGUAUAAGAGAUGGGUUACUAUAUAAACAAAUCUAACCUGCACCCCCUUAUUUCAAAAUCCCUAGAUCAAAUAUGCGCACACCAAACCCCCAUUUCCCUCUGCUCUCUCUCGAUCUCACACCGGUGAUCGGCGGGUUUCUGUGGUACCGGCGCCGCUAUGGUGGUGUCGGCCACCAUCUCCAGUGACAACCACACUCACAGCCCCCCCCCCCUCCGAUGAUCUCCAGCGACGGCAGGCAGAGCCGCCGCCCCUCACGCCGGCGGCGGUGAGUGUCUCGACGACGACGGCGGUGUGCAGCUUUUCCGAUGGUCGACGGGCGAAGGGUCUAGCAGCCGCUGGUUUCUUUUGUCAAACACACUCUACAAACCCUAAUUCAGUUCCUCUCAACCUAAUACCCAGCUUCAACAGAAAACCUAGAAGACGAAAGAGAAGGAAACUAAUUUGAUACUAACCUGAUAGCAGCAAUGGUUGCAAGAGGCGAGAGCAAGCAAGAGAGCAGAAUGGUGAACGAUCUAGAACAAAUCCCCUGUUGUAAAGAGUAGGGCUUCUUUGUUGAGGGGUAUGAUGUGGGGUCCUGGUGUAAAUGGAGCGGAAAUGAGUAAUAAAUAAAUAACCAGGUAGUUAAGCAGAGUGCGGUGCUAGAGACCGAAAGAAAUUCGCUCCUAUUUUCUAAUGUUAUCAAGAAUUGGAUGGCACAUGGGUGAAAGUCUUGUAUGUAGACAUUGA